This 264-nucleotide ribosomal RNA is filed under the name uncultured archaeon. Its description in RNAcentral is "partial 16S ribosomal RNA". It matches the Rfam family "Archaeal small subunit ribosomal RNA", at positions 718 to 982 of the family's 1478-position model. The record is from RNAcentral.
AGUCACUGACAUUAGAUACCCCGGUAGUCCCAGCCCUAAACGAUGCGCGUUAGGUGUAUCGGUGACCACGAGUCACCGAGGUGCCGAAGGGAAACCGUGAAACGUGCCGCCUGGGAAGUACGGUCGCAAGGCUGAAACUUAAAGGAAUUGGCGGGGAGCACAACAACGGGUGGAGCUUGCGGUUUAAUUGGAUUCAACGCCGGAAAUCUUACCGGGACCGACAGCAACAUGAAGGCCAAGCUGAAGACUUUGCCGGAUUAGCUG